This 335-nucleotide unclassified non-coding RNA is filed under the name soil metagenome. Its description in RNAcentral is "partial contains 5.8S ribosomal RNA, internal transcribed spacer 2, and large subunit ribosomal RNA". The stretch from base 1 to 120 matches the Rfam family "5.8S ribosomal RNA", at positions 35 to 154 of the family's 154-position model. The record is from RNAcentral.
GAUGAAGAACGUAGCGAAAUGCGAUAAGUAGUGUGAAUUGCAGAAUUCAGUGAAUCAUCGAAUCUUUGAACGCACAUUGCGCCCCUUGGUACUCCAUGGGGCAUGCCUGUUCGAGCGUCAUUUACACCCUCAAGCUCAGCUUGGUGUUGGGCGUCUGUCCCGCUUCGUGCGCGGACUCGCCUCAAAUGCAUUGGCAGCGGUCUUGCCAGCUUCUCGCGCAGCACAAUGCGCUUCUAGAGGCUUUGGCGGAUCGGCGUCCAUCAAGUACACCCACAGUUUGACCUCGGAUCAGGUAGGGAUACCCGCUGAACUUAAGCAUAUCAAUAAGCGGAGGA